Molecule: long non-coding RNA, 3007 nt
Organism: Harpia harpyja (harpy eagle)
Lineage: Eukaryota; Metazoa; Chordata; Aves; Accipitriformes; Accipitridae
Exons: 2
Source: RefSeq, a predicted model, not a curated record
CGUGAGUGGGGGGGGGAGCGCCUUCGUUGGGACUGUCUCCAGUGCGGGUCGCAGCCCCGCAGGCAAGGCCGCUCUGGUGAAGUGAGGUGACGCGGCCGUCGUCUGCCUUUGGGCCGGUUACUGCUGUGAGGUGUUGCUGUGGGGCCGGGAGCUGCUGCUGCUGCUGCUGUGUGCAGAGUGCCGUUUGCUCCCUAGGCAGCCCCAGCCCUGAAGGAAGCACCUUGCAUCCGAGAAAACCCAUAGAGAAUCAGCAUUUACUUUGUCUCAUGAAAAAUGCCAGUGACCAAGGACAUAUAAAGUGCAAGAAGAAAUUCAGCUUAAUACCAAUGCAUGAAAUAAAGGUAUCCUUCUCUGUAGAAAAGGCCAUGACUUACACAAGGUGGUCUGACCAGCUCCUGCAGUGCAGUCCUUCAUGUAUGGUAUGGCUUUUGCGAGCUGCAGUCAUUGACUUCAGAAAAUGUGGAUAUUUUCCACAUUUACAGAAUUAUUGUUAUAUUCUAAUACAGUAUGAGUGUGUAUGCUGGAUGCUGCUAGAUAUUAGGAAGGGAGACAAACAGAUGAGAUUCACUAUAGUGGAAGCCUUAUAGGAAUGCACAGUUUCUUUUGGUGCUCCAGAUAAUGCAUGAGAAAUUGUGUACUGACUACCUCUAUGCUCUGUUAUUCCUGCUGGCUAUCAGGAAAGAAGAGUUGGCCCCCACCUUUCUUGGUCAAAGAAGUUAAAUUGUGGAAUAUAUAAAAUGGAAACUUUGAGACAAACCUUUUCACUUUUCAUUGUCUUUUGCCAGAUAUUUUCUUUCUAAAGUCUUGUACUGGUACAACAGAAACUCCAGGUUGCAAAAGGGUGUCAUACAUGCUUGUAUUUUCUUGUUGGCAAUGGACAGAAUACCUGAUGUGGAUCCUUCUUUGCUACAGUGAUUCCUACCUUCCCUAACAGAUUCUUUAGGUUUCUGCAAAAAAGCAGAACUUAGAGUGUACAUAACAGCUGAAAUUGGUUCUAGCAGUUUUAAGAGCUGAAGGAACAUAACAUGGCAUAAAGCUACUUUGCUCCCAAGUGAUAGGCCUCAGGCUAAAUAAUACUUAGGUGGGUGCAUGAAUCCUGCAUUUGUUCUGAGAUGAUGAAGGAGGAAUAUUGAAAACCAAAUGCAGUGAGAUGUAGAUACUCACAGGGGGUAACGCUGUCGGCAUUCCUUAUAAGGAACUCCUGGCUGUAAAGCAGUAUGUACUUGGGUCAUGGCUUGCCAGCCACCUGGUCAGUGUAAAGCAUUGACACAAGUGCAGAAGGAAAAUUGGAUUCAUCAGCAUGGAUUCAACCUUCAGUCCCAAAAUAAUGUUUUACAAAGAAAGGCUGCUAAACUUCUUUAGAGUUUAGCUACUCCAAGAGCUAAGUAGUUGUUACUUAAUUACUUAAUUAUUAUACUGUUUGGCAAUGGAAGGGCUGUAGAUUUUUCUGGUCUUCUAAAUACAUAAGCAAACUCUGCACAAUCCAAGCUGAAGGUUCUAGCUUGGAUACAAUAAGCAAUGUAACUCCAUUAACAUAAAUACGUGCUACUUGAUGACUAAAAUACUUUUGGAGAUUGAUUAAAGUUUGUGCUGUGGCAAUUUCAUACUGAGCUAAAUCAGGAGAUCACAUUAUCCUUUUUACUAGUUCUAGCUAAGGGAAGCCAACAAAAACUUGGGAGAGUGAUAAUGUUUUAAACCAUUUUUAUAGUCAAUGUCUGCCCAUGCCUACCUGAGGAAGUGCCAUGGUUAAGCAGACACAUUGCUAGUGAUAUUUCAGCAAUGUCUCUCAGAACUGGUUGCAGAAUUUCUACAAUGCACUGUAUGGCACUGUGCAGGCAAUCGAUGACAUGACUUACCAGGUAGAUUAUAUGAUUCUACUUACUUCAGUGCUAAUUUUUCUAAUUGGGCAUAUAUUGCUUAAUGUGUGUUUUUAUCUGAACUUGAUGAAAAACUGUCAGGUUAAAUUUUACUCAGUGUGUAUUUUGGAGGGAGGAAAUGGACUUUUACAAAAUGCACUUUCUAAUAUAAACUAUCCAGUACUUUGGUAUGAACAGAAGCAAGCAUUCUUAUGUUUUAAAUAAGAAAUCUUGUGGAACCCAAGCUUAUCAGAUUUUUUCCAGAAACUUGCUGGUUCCCUGCCAGUUCAUCAACCCAUCCACUUGGGAGGUUGCCCAGCCUUCCAAAAGCUGCAGCUGCCUCUGCAUCAAGGAUGGCAGCACUUCCAGGGCUGCAGGCUCCAGAGCGGGUGGCCAGAUGGACUUCCUCUGAGGUACCACCCAAAGGGACUCCAUCAUCAUGGGGUGAUGUGCUGCGCAGACAGCCUCCCAGCAGGCUGGGAGGUAGGAUAAGAAACUUUCAGGUCUGGUGAUGUUUUAUCUUGUGCCAGCUUUUAGUAGUUUUCUAAGAAAUUGUUUUGUAAGUGGACAUCCUAUUCCUGUCACUAAGGUAGACCUUGUAUCUGAAAAGAUGGAUGUGUGCAUUUAACACAUUACUUUGUAGCAGUCCUGCUUCCAAGGUUCAGGUAGAAAUGACACAAAAUACAACAGCGUGUCUAGAGGAAUGUUGCUUUUUAAGCUGAAAUUUGGCUUCUGACAGAGGUUAGGUUUUGUUGUGGUUUUGGGUUUUCUUUUUAUCUUAACAGACAUUCUUGUUUCUCCUACAAAUAUCCAAUCUUAUUUUAGAUUCAACCAGACCUCAGCAAUAUCUUGUGGACUAACAUGCAAUUUUUUACUCAGAUAUUCAUGGUAGUUAAUACACCCUUCGUAUUAAUGAUGUAUUGUGGAAGGACUGUAAUAAUAAGUAGAAGCUGAUAAGCUUUGUGUUGAUGUGUAAAUUGUUGUUGACCUUAACAGUUUUUCUCCUAUCUUUUUAGUGCUGAGAACAGUACAAUUUAAUAGCACAGAGCAAUGCUAGGGAAGCUUUGGAGAUUGUAACUCUUCAUGUUUGUAUAAAAGUAAGUGCUAACCAUUACUCAAACAGGUUAAUAAAAUAAAAGCAUACAAAGCAA